Non-coding RNA from Xylariaceae sp. AK1471, 100 nucleotides. Lineage: Eukaryota; Fungi; Ascomycota; Sordariomycetes; Xylariales; Xylariaceae. The record is from the annotation of a GenBank genome assembly.
GCUCGGUUAGCUCAGUUGGUUAGAGCGUCGUACUAAUAUUAUACAACAUAGUAUAACAUCGGUAAUGCGAAGGUCAUGAGUUCGACCCUCAUACUGAGCA